GACAGAGGGGGCAAGCGUUGCUCGGAAUUACUGGGCGUAAAGGGCGCGUAGGCGGUCAGCACAAGUCAGUUGUGAAAUCUCCGGGCUUAACUCGGAAAGGUCAACUGAUACUGUGCGACUAGAGUGCAGAAGGGGCAACUGGAAUUCUCGGUGUAGCGGUGAAAUGCGUAGAUAUCGAGAGGAACACCAAUGGCGAAGGCAGCUCGCUGGGACGGUACUGACGCUGAGACGCGAAAGCGUGGGGAGCAAACAGG
Molecule: ribosomal RNA, 254 nt
Filed under: uncultured bacterium
Lineage: Bacteria
Description: partial 16S ribosomal RNA
Rfam family: Bacterial small subunit ribosomal RNA
Source: RNAcentral